AUUACAGAAAAUUGGUGCCCCUCGGGGCAACCUAUUGAAUCACCCUUUGUAUAUCACGAUUACAAGUUGCUUCGGCAGGAUCUUACCUGCCGAACGCCAAAAACCCUUGAAUUUCUGCCGUCUGAGUACUAUAAAUAAUAGUUAAAACUUUCAACAACGGAUCUCUUGGUUCUGGCAUCGAUGAAGAACGCAGCGAAAUGCGAUAAGUAAUGUGAAUUGCAGAAUUCAGUGAAUCAUCGAAUCUUUGAACGCACAUUGCGCCCCCUGGCAUUCCGGGGGGCAUGCCUGUUCGAGCGUCAUUACAACCCUCAAGCUUCGCUUGGUGUUGGGCUCGCCCGCUGUGGGCCUGCCUCAAAAUCAGUGGCGGCUUUCGUCCGGUCUCAAGCGCAGUAAUGCUCGUCGCUUGCCAGGCUCGGGCGCCGGCCUGCCAGCAACCCCC
RNAcentral lists this ribosomal RNA (439 nucleotides) under fungal sp. T8.6. RNAcentral's name for it is "eukaryotic LSU rRNA". The stretch from base 146 to 299 matches the Rfam family "5.8S ribosomal RNA". Lineage: Eukaryota; Fungi. The record is from RNAcentral.